RNAcentral lists this long non-coding RNA (7957 nucleotides) under Citrus x clementina. Its description in RNAcentral is "Citrus clementina (C. clementina) long non-coding RNA (CCLE_LNC004752)". The record is from RNAcentral. Lineage: Eukaryota; Viridiplantae; Streptophyta; Magnoliopsida; Sapindales; Rutaceae.
GAAAAGGCCACAAAAACGGGUGGGCUAUAGCCUUGGGCGGUGGGGCUGGGCAACUUCGAUCGCUGGACUCGGAAUGGCGCGAGACUUUGCGAGGCGCCUCCGUGUGCCAAAAAUAGGCCGCGCGCACAGCCGCGCCCAAAAAUAACCGCGCCAAGACCGGGGCGCCAAGUUCGUCCAGCGGAAAAAGCCCACAAAAACGGGUGGGCUAUAGCCUUGGGGGAUGGGGCUGGCCAACUUCGUCCGCCGGACUCGGAAUGGCGUGAGACUUUGUGAGGCUCCUCCGUGUUCCAAAAAUAGGCUGCGGGCACAGCCGCGCCCAAAAAUAACCGCCCGAACUCCGGGGCGCCAAGUUCGUCCAGCGGAAAAAGCCCACAAAUACGGACGGGCUAUAGCCUUGGGGGGUGGUGCUGGCCAACUUCGUCCGCCGGUCUCGGAAUGGCGCGUGACUUUGCGAGGCGCCUCCGUGUAUGAAAAAUAGGCCGCGGGCACAGCCGCACCCAAAACUAACAGCCCGAAGGCCGGGGCGACAAGUUCGUCCAUCGGAAAAAGCCCACAAAAACGGGUGGGCUAUAGCCUUGGGGGGUGGGGAUGGCCAACUUCAUCCGCCGGACUCGGAAUGCCACGAGACUUUACGAGGGGCCUCCGUGUGCCAAAAAUAGGCCGCGAACAAAGGCGCGCCCAAAAAUAACCGCCCGAAGGCCGGGGCGCCAAGCUCGUCCAGCGGAAAAAGGCCACAAAAACGGGUGGGCUAUAGCCUUGGGGGGUGGGGCUGGCCAACUUCGUCCGCCGGACUCGGAAUGCCGCGAGACUUUGCGAAGGGCCUCCGUGUGCCAAAAAUAGGCCGCGAACAAAGGCACGCCCAAAAAUAACCGCCCGAAGGCCGGGGCGCCAAGUUCGUCCAGCGGAAAAAGCCCACAAAAACGGGUGGGCUAUAGCCUUGGGGGAUGGGGCUGGCCAACUUCGUCCGCCGGACUCGGAAUGGCGUGAGACUUUGCGAGGCUCCUCCGUGUUCCAAAAAUAGGCUGCGGGCACAGCCGCGCCCAAAAAUAACCGCCCGAAGUCCGGGGCGCCAAGUUCGUCCAGCGGAAAAAGCCCACAAAUACGGACGGGCUAUAGCCUUGGGGGGUGGUGCUGGCCAACUUCGUCCGCCGGUCUCGGAAUGGCGCGCGACUUUGCGAGGCGCCUCCGUGUAUGAAAAAUAGGCCGCGGGCACAGCCGCACCCAAAACUAACAGCCCGAAGGCCGGGGCGACAAGUUCGUCCAGCGGAAAAAGCCCACAAAAACGGGUGGGCUAUAGCCUUGGGGGGUGGGGAUGGCCAACUUCAUCCGCCGGACUCGGAAUGCCACGAGACUUUGCGAGGGGCCUCCGUGUGCCAAAAAUAGGCCGCGAACAAAGGCACGCCCAAAAAUAACCGCCUGAAGGACGGGGCGCCAAGUUCGUCCAGCGGAAAAAGUCCACAAAAACGGGUGGGCUAUAGCCUUGGGGGGUGGGGCUGGCCGACUUCGUCCGCCGGACUCGGAAUGCCGCGAGACUUUGCGAGGGGCCUCCGUGUGCCAAAAAUAGGCCGCGGGUAAAGCCACGCCCAAAAAUAACCGACCGAAGGCCGGGGCGCCAAGUUCGUCCAGCGGAACAAGGCCACAAAAACGGGUCGGCUAUAACCUUGGGGGGUGGGGCUGGCCGACUUCGUCCGCCGGACUCGGAAUGCCGCGAGACUUUGCGAGGGGCCUCCGUGUGCCAAAAAUAGGCCGCGGGUAAAGCCGUGCCCAAAAAUAACCGCCCGAAGGCCGGGGCGCCAAGUUCGUCCAGCGGAAAAAGGCCACAAAAACGGGUGGGCUAUAGCCUUGGGGGGUGGGGCUGGCCGACUUCGUCCGCCGGAUUCGGAAUGCCGCGAGACUUUGCGAGGGGCCUCCGUGUGCCAAAAAUAGGCCGCGGGCAAAGCCACGCCCAAAAAUAACCGCCCGAAGGCCGGGGCGCCAAGUUCGUCCAGCGUAAAAAGGCCACAAAAACGGGUGGGCUAUAACCUUGGGGGGUGGGGCUGGCCGACUUCGUCCGCCGGACUCGGAAUGGCGUGAGCCUUUGCGAGGCGCCUCCGUGUGGCAAAAAUAGGCCGCGGGCACAGCCGCGCCUAAAACUAACCGCCCGAAGGCUGGGGCGACAAGUUCGUCCAGCGGUAAAAGCCCACAAAAACGGGUGGGCUAUAGCCUUGGGGGGUGGGGAUGGCCAACUUCGUCCGCCGGACUCGGAAUGCCGCGAGACUUUGCGAGGGGGCUCCAUGUGCCAAAAAUAGGCCGCGGGCAAAGCCGCACCCAAAAAUAACCACCCGAUGGCCGGGGCGUCAAGUUCGUCCAGCGGAAAAAGGCCACAAAAACGGGUGGGCUAUAGCCUUGGGGGGUGGGGAUGGCCCACUUCGUCCGCCGGACUCGGAAUGCCGCGAGACUUUGUGAGGGGCCUCUGUGUGCCAAAAAUAGGCCGCGGGCAAAGCCGCGCAAAAAAAUAACCCCCCGAAGGCCGGGGCGCCAAGUUCGUCCAGCGGAAAAAGGCCACAAAAACGGAUGGGCUAUAGCCUUGGGAGGUGGGGCUGGCCAACUUCGUCCGCCAGCCUCGGAAUGGCGCGAGGCUUUGCGAGGCGCCUCCGUGUGCCAAAAAUAGGCCGCGGGCACAACCGCGCCCAAAAAUAACUGUCCGAAGGCCGGGGCGCCAAGUUCGUCCAGCGGAAAAAGGCCACAAAAACGGGUGGGCUAUAGCCCUGGGGGGUGGGGCUGGCCAACUUCGUCCGCCGGACUAGGAAUGGCGCGAGACUUUGCGAGGCACCUCCGUGUGCCAAAAAUAGGCCGCGGGCACAGCCGCGCCCAAAAAUAACCGCCCGAAGGCCGGGUUGCCAAGUUCGUCCAGCGGAAAAACGCCACAAAAACGGGUGGGCUAUAGCCUUGGGGGGUGGGGCUGGCCCACUUCGUCCGCCGGACUCGGAAUGGAGCGAGACUUUGCGAGGCGUCUCCGUGAGCCAAAAAUAGGACGCGGGCGCAGCCGCGCUCAAAGAGAACCACCUAAAGGCUGGGGCGCCAAGUUCGUCCAGCGGAAAAAGGCCACAAAAACGGGUGGGCUAUAGACUUGGGGGAUGGGGCUGGCCAACUUCGUCCGCCUGAGUCAGAAUGGCCCGAGACUUUGCGAGGCACCUCCGUGUGCCAAAAAUAGGCCGCGGGCACAACCGCGCCCAAAAAUAACCGACCGAAGGCCAAGGUGCCAAGUUCGUCCAGCGGAAAAAGGCCACAAAAACGGGUGGGCUAUAGCCUUGGGGCGUGGGGCUGGCCAACUUCGUACGCUGCACUCGGAAUGGCGCGAGACUUUGCGAGGUGCCUCCGUGUGCCAAAAAUAGGCCGCAGGCAAAGCCGCAACCAAAAAUAACCGCCCGAAGGCCGGGGCGCCAAGUUCGUCCAGCGGAAAAAGACCACAAAAACGGGUGGGCUAUAGCCUUGGGGGGUAGGGCUGGCUGACUUCGUCCGCCGGACUUGGAAUGCCGCGAGACUUUGCGAGGGCCCUCCAUGUGCCAAAAAUAGGCCGCGGGCAAAGCCGUACCCAAAAAUAACCACCCGAUGGCCGGGGCGCCAAGUUCGUCCAGCGGAAAAAGGCCACAAAAACGGGUGGGCUAUAGCCUUGGGGGGUGGGGCUGGCCAACUUCGUCCGCCUAACUUGCAAUGGCGCGAGACUUUGCGAGACACCUCCGUGUGCCAAAAAUAGGCCGCGGGCACAGCCGCGCCUAAACAUAACCGCCCGAAGGCCGGGGCGCCAAGUUCGUCCAGCGGAAAAAGGCUACAAAAACGGGUGGGCUAUAGCCUUGGGGGGUGGGGCUGGCCAACUACGUCCGCCGGACUCGGAAUGGCGGGAGACUUUGCGUGGCGCCUCCGUAUGCCAAAAAUAGGCAGCGAGCGCAGCCGCGCCCAAACAUAACCGCGCGAAGGCCGGGGCGCCAAGUUCGUCCAGCGGAAAGAGGCCACAAAAACGGGUGGGCUAUAGCCUUGGGGGGUGGGGCUGGCCAACUACGUCCGCCGGACUCGGAAUGGCGGGAGACUUUGCGAGGCGCCUCCGUAUACCAAAAAUAGGCAGCGAGCGCAGCCGCGCCCAAACAUAACCGCGCGAAGGCCGGGGCGCCAAGUUCGUCCAGCGGGAAAAGGCCAAAAAAUGCCACAAAAACGGGUGGGCUAUAGCUUUGGGGGGUGCGGCUGGCCAAAUUCGUCCGCCGGACUCGGAAUGGCGCGAGACUUUGCGAGGCACCUCCGUGUGCCAAAAAUAGGCUGUGGGCUCAGCCGCGCCCAAAAAUAUCCGGCCAAAGGCCGGGGCCCCAAGUUCGUCCAGCGGAAAAAGGCCACAAAAACGGGUGGGCUAUAGCAUUGGGGGGUGGGGCUGGCCAACUUCGUCUGCCGAACUCGGAAUGGGGCGAGACAUUGCGAGGCGCCUCCGUGUGACAAAAAUAGGCCGCGGGCACAGCCGCGCCUAAACAUAACCGCCCGAAGGCCGGGGCGCCAAGUUCGUCCAGCGGAAAAAAGCCACAAAAACGGGUGGGCUAUAGCCUUGGGUGGUGGGGCUGGCCAACUAAGUCCGCCGGACGCGGAAUGGCGCGAGACUUUACGAGGCGCCUCCCUGUGCCAAAAAUAGGCCGCAGGCACAGCCGCGCCCAAAAAUAACCGCCCGAAGGCCGGGGCGCCAAGUUCGUCCAGCGGAAAGAGGCCACAAAAACGGGUGGGCUAUAGCCUUGGGGGGUGGGGCCGGCCGACUUCGUCCGCCGAACUUGGAAUGGCGCGAGACUUUGCGACGCACCUCCGUGUGCAAAAAAUAGGCCGCGAGCACAGCCGCGCCUAAACAUAACCGCCCGAAGGACGGGGUGCCAAGUUGGUCCAGCGGAAAACGGCCUCAAAAAGGGGUGGGCUAUCGCCUUGGGGGGUGGGCUAUAGCCUUGGUGGGAGGGGUUGGCCAACUUCGUCCGCCGGACUCGGAAUGGCGCGAGACUUUGCGAGGCGCCUCCGUGUGCCUAAAAUAGGCCACGGGCACAGCCGCGCCCAAACAUAACCGCCCAAAGGCCGGUGCGCCAAGUUCGUCCAGCGGAAAAAGGCCACAAAAACGGGUGGGCUAUAGCCUUGGGGGGUGGGGCUGGCCAACUUCGUCCGCCGGACUCGGAAUGGCGCGAGACUUUGCGAGGCGCCUCCGUGUGCCAAAAAUAGGCCGCGGGCACAGCCGCGCCCAAACAUAACCGCCCAAAGGCCGGUGCGCCAAGUUCGUCCAGCGGAAAAAGGCCACAAAAACAGGUGGGCUAUAGCCUUGCGGGGUGGGCUAUAGCCUUGGGGGGCGGGGCUGGCCAACUUCUUCCUCCGGACUCGGAAUGGCGGGAGACUUUGCGAGGCGCCUCCGUGGGCCAAAAAUAGGCCGCGGUCACAGCCGCGCCCAAAAAUAACAGCCCGAAGGCCGGGGCGCCAAGUUCGUCCAGCGGAAAAAGGCCACAGAAACGGGUGGGCUAUAGCCUUGGGGGGUGGGGCUGGCCAACUUCGUCCGCCGAACUGGGAAGGGCGGGAAACAUUGGGAGGCGCCUCCGUGUGCCAAAAUAGGCUGCGGGCACAGCCGCGCCUAAACAUAACCGCCCGAAGGCCGGGGCGCCAAGUUCGUCCAGCGGAAAAAGGACACAAAAACGGGUGGGCUAUAGCCUUGGGGGGUGGGGCUGGCCAACUUCGUCCGCCGAACUCGGAAUGGCGCGAAACAUUGCGAGGCGCCUCCGUGUGCCAAAAAUAGGCUGCGGGCACAGCCGCGCCUAAACAUAACCGCCCGAAGGCCGGGGCGCCAAGUUCGUCCAGCGGAAAAAGGCCACAAAAACGGUUGGGCAAUAGCCUUGGGGGGCGGGGCCGGCCAACUUCGUCCGCCGGACUCGGAAUGGCGCGAGACUUUGCGAGGCACCUCCGUGUGCCAAAAAUAGGCCGCGGGCACAGCCGUGCCCAAACAUAACCGCCCGAAGGCCGGGGCGCCACGUUCGUCCAGCGGAAAAAGGCCACAAAAACGGGUGGGCUAUAGCCGUGCGGGGUGGGGCUGGCCGACUUCGUCCGCCGGACUCGGAAUGGCGCGAGACUUUGCGAGGCGCCUCCGUGUGCCAAAAAUAGGCCGCGGGCACAUCCGCGCCCAAAAAUAACCGCCCGAAGGCCUGGGCGCCAAGUUCUUCCAGCGGAAAAAGGCCAGAAAAACGGGUGGGCCAUAGCCUUGGGGGGUGGGGCUGGCCAACUUCGUCCGCCUAACUUGGAAUGGUGCGAGACUUUGCGAGACACCUCCGUGUGCCAAAAAUAGGCAGCGGGCACAGCCACGCCCAAACAUAACCGCGCGAAGGCCGGGGCGCCAAGUUCGUCCAGCAGAAAAAGGCCACAAAAACGGGUGGGCUAUAGCCUUGGGGGUGGGGCUGGCGAACUUCGUCCGCCGAACUCGGAAUGGCGCGAGACAAUGCGAGGUGCCUCCGUGUGCCAAAAAUAGGCCGCGGGCACAGCCGCACCUAAACAUAACCGCCCGAAGGCCGGGGCGCCAAGUUCGUCCAGCGGAAAAAGGCCAAAAAAACGGGUGGGCUAUAGCCUUGGGGGGUGGGGCUGGCCAACUUCGUCCGCCGAACUCGGAAUGGCGCGAGACAUUGCGAGGCGCCUCCGGGUGCCAAAAAUAGGCCGCGGGCACAGCCGCGCCUAAACAUAACCGCCCGAAGGCCGGGGCGCCAAGUUCGUCCAGCGGAAAAAGGCCACAAAAACGGGUGGGCUAUAACCUUGGGGGGUAGGGCUGGCCGACUUCGUCCGCCGAACUUGGAAUGGCGCGAGACUUUGCGACGCACCUCCGUGUGCCAAAAAUAGGCCGCGGGCACAGCCGUGCCUAAACAUAACCGCCCGAAGGCCGGGGCGCCAAGUUCGUCCAGCGGAAAAAGGCCACAAAAACGGGUGGGCUAUAGCCUUGGGGGUUGGGAUAUAGCCUUGGUGGGCGGGGUUGGCCAACUUCGUCCGCCGGACUUGGAAUGGUGCGAGACUUUGCGAGGCACCUCCGUGUGCCUAAAGUAGGCCACGGGCACAGCCGCGCCCAAACAUAACCGCCCGAAGGCCAGGGCGCCAAGUUCGUGCAGCGGAAAAAGGCCACAAAAACGGGUGGGCUAUAGCCUUGGGGGGUGGGGCUGGCCGACUUCGUCCGCCGGCCUCGGAAUGGCGCGAGACUUUGCGAGGCACCUCCGUGUGCCAAAAAUAGGCCGCGGGCACAGCCGCACCCGAAAAUAACCGCCCGAAGGCCGGGGCGCCAAGUUCGUCCAGCGCAAAAAGGCCACAAAAACGGGUGGGCUAUAGCCUUGGGGGGUGGGGCUGGCCAACUUCGUCCGCCGGACUCGGAAUGGCGUGAGACUUUGCGAGCAGCCUCCGUGUGCAAAAAAAAAACCGCGGGCACAAAAACUGCCCGAAGGCCGGGGCGCCAAGUUCGUCCAGCGGAAAAAGGCCACAAAAACGGGUGGGCUAUAGCCUUUUGGGGGGUGGGGCUGGCCAACUUCGUCCGCCGGACUCGGAAUGCCGCGAGACUUGGCGAGGGUCUCCGUGUGCCAAAAAUAGCCCGCGAGUAAAGCCGCGCCCAAAAAUAACUGCCCGAAGGCCGGGGCGCCAAGUUCAUCCAGCGGAAAAAGGCCACAAAAACAGUUGGGCUAUAGCCUUGGGGGGUGGGGCUGGCCAACUUCGUNNNNNNNNNNNNNNNNNNNNNNNNNNNNNNNNNNNNNNNNNNNNNNNNNNNNNNNNNNNNNNNNNNNNNNNNNNNNNNNNNNNNNNNNNNNNNNNNNNNNACCGCGCCCAAAAAUAACCACCCGAAGGCCGGGGCGCCAGGUUCGUCCAGCGGAAAGAGGCCACAAAAACGGGUGGGCUAUAGCCUUGGGGGGUGGGGCUGGCCAACUUCGUCCGCCGGACUGGGAAUCCAUUGAGACUU